ACACAAACUCUAUGUAUCUGCCAACAGACUACUUGCUAAUUGUCUAGGGGACAGGUGCCUUUGCAGUAAACAAGCCAGGUCAAAUGCUUCUGCACCAAGUGAUCGGGCCUUGCACUGACUUCACAGGAAGUGAUGUACUGAGAUAUGCAAACUCACCUGCAUAGAUUUUCAACAGAAAUGCAUGACCUGAAAUCUACUCAGGAGGAAACAAAGCCAAAUCGAGGGACAUUCUGCAGAUUCUGGAUUCUGCAGAUCUGGAUUUGUCAAGCAUCAACCUUGAACUUCUGGAGGCAGGGAAUUUUGUUUGAUUCUUCUUCCUAUGGCAACAACUGCUGUGUAAGACAACACCGCUAUCGGAUGCCCACUGAGUGCCCUGAGGCUUGGGGGAAACACUACAACUGAUUCAGCAAACAUUUACUGAGCAUCUAUGGAGUCUAUGGGGAUACAAAGAUGAUCAAAUAGCUCAGGCUCUGCUCUCAAAAGUCUUAGUCAAGGAAAUGGAAAAACACAAUAGUAAUCAGAGGAUUAAAAUAAAAUCUGAUAAUCUCUGUGAAGGAGUCAGGCAUGCUGGAGGCAGCCAGGAGGGUAAAGAAAAGCCACUGAAGGUUUUUAAGGUGGGGAGAUACCAUGAUAAGUUUUAGAAAUGUGUUUGCUCAACUUGCCAGUAGUAAGAAUGGUGAGAAGGAAGUGGAGACAGGGAGACCCAGGUGUCAGCUGCGCUACAUGUUUUGGAAUCGUGAUGUCUGCAUGGCUGGGAGGAUAUGGUGACGACAUGGACAUGGAACUGAUGCAUAAAACCCAGGUCUAAAAUAUUUCCAAAUGUGCUCAAGUGUAACAUCGACGGUAGGCAAAAGCUUCGGCUGGAAUGCGCUCUGUCCACACUCCAGACCAGCAUUUCUCAAUUUUUAACCCAUAUUCCCAUUUGAUAAGCAUUAGAGAUCCCGCUCCCUCUUUAAACUUUGUAUUAGGAAAACAACGGUUGUUCCGCACCCCCUUUUCAACGUACACACUUCUGUAAUAAAUACGACUCGCAAUAAAAAGUAAUGAACUAUU
Hyaena hyaena (striped hyena) is the source of this 1053-nucleotide long non-coding RNA. RefSeq lists it as uncharacterized. Lineage: Eukaryota; Metazoa; Chordata; Mammalia; Carnivora; Hyaenidae. The transcript has 5 exons. The record is from RefSeq and is a predicted model, not a curated record.